RNAcentral lists this ribosomal RNA (400 nucleotides) under uncultured bacterium. Its description in RNAcentral is "bacterial SSU rRNA". It matches the Rfam family "Bacterial small subunit ribosomal RNA", at positions 362 to 776 of the family's 1533-position model. The record is from RNAcentral.
UAUUGGACAAUGGGGGGAACCCUGAUCCAGCGACGCCGCGGGAGUGAAGAAGUAUCUCGGUGUGUUAAGCUUCAUCAGCAGGGAAGAAAGAAAUGACGGUACCUGAGUAAGAAGCCCGGGCUAACUACGUUCCAGCAGCCGCGGUAAUACGUAGGGGGCAAGCGUUCUCCGGAAUUACUGGGUGUAAAGGGAGCGUAGACGGUGGUGUAAGUCUGGAGUGAAAGGCGGGGGCCCAACCCCCGGACUGCUCUGGAAACUAUGUGACUGGAGUGCAGGAGAGGUGAGCGGAAUUCCUAGUGUAGCGGUGAAAUGCGUAGAUAUUAGGAGGAACACCAGUGGCGAAGGCGGCUCACUGGACUGUAACUGACGUUGAGGCUCGAAAGCGUGGGGAGCAAACAGG